ACCAAGCCACUCUUGAUGAGAACAUCCAGGCACUCAAAAAAAGCAGGCCAUGGAAGGAAUCAGUCCAACUACAAAACUAUUUUUUAGACUUUUGGGGUUUAUACUUAGAGAAAUGGGUUCGCUUUUUUCGAGAUGAACAUCUUCGUAUUGCAAUUUAUACAAACAAUGGUAUCGAAAGACAAAAUAACUGGCUCAAGCACUCAUAUCUCGAAAGUAGACGAAAUAACUCGGUGUCUGAUCUGGUUGACGUAAUAAUCAACCAUUUUUUACCUGAUAGUUACAAGAAAUACAAAGAGCAAAACAUUCGAUGUACGUCAUCAUAUCGAGGCUACGAUGAUC
Xenia sp. Carnegie-2017 is the source of this 339-nucleotide long non-coding RNA. RefSeq lists it as uncharacterized. The transcript is spliced from 3 exons. The record is from RefSeq and is a predicted model, not a curated record. Lineage: Eukaryota; Metazoa; Cnidaria; Anthozoa; Malacalcyonacea; Xeniidae.